CGAUUGCGAAGNCAGCUUGCUGGACUGUAACUGACGCUGAGGCACGAAAGCGUGGGGAUCAAACAGGAUUAGAUACCCUGGUANNCCACGCCGUAAACGAUGAAUGCUAGCUGUNAGCGAUAUACUGUNAGCGGCACAGAGAAAUCGUUAAGCAUUCCACCUGGGGAGUACGCCGGCAACGGUGAAACUCAAAGGAAUUGACGGGGGCCCGCACAAGCGGAGGAACAUGUGGUUUAAUUCGAUGAUACGCGAGGAACCUUACCUGGGCUUAAAUUGCAGUGGAAUAACGUGGAAACAUGUUAGCCUUCGGGCCGCUGUGAAGGUGCUGCAUGGUUGUCGUCAGCUCGUGCCGUGAGGUGUCGGCUUAAGUGCCAUAACGAGCGCAACCCUCAUCGAUAGUUACUAACAGGUUAAGCUGAGGACUCUAUCGAGACUGCCGACGUAAGUCGUGAGGAAGGUGGGGAUGACGUCAAAUCAGCACGGCCCUUACGUCCAGGGCUACACACGUGUUACAAUGGGGGGUACAAAGGGCAGCUACCUGGCGACAGGAUGCUAAUCUCAAAAACCUCUCUCAGUUCGGAUUGGAGUCUGCAACCCGACUCCAUGAAGCUGGAUUCGCUAGUAAUCGCGCAUCAGCCACGGCGCGGUGAAUACGUUCCCGGGCCUUGUACACACCGCCCGUCAAGCCAUGGGAGCCGGGGGGACCUGAAGUAUGCAACCGUAAGGAGCGUCCUAGGGUAAAACUGGUGACUGGGGCU
This 758-nucleotide ribosomal RNA is filed under the name uncultured prokaryote. Its description in RNAcentral is "bacterial SSU rRNA". It matches the Rfam family "Bacterial small subunit ribosomal RNA", at positions 710 to 1482 of the family's 1533-position model. The record is from RNAcentral.